UGGGGAAUUUUGGACAAUGGGGGCAACCCUGAUCCAGCCAUGCCGCGUGCGGGAAGAAGGCCUUCGGGUUGUAAACCGCUUUUGGUCGGGAAGAAAGGGCAUUUCCUAAUAGGGGGUGCUGUUGACGGUACCGGCAGAAUAAGCACCGGCUAACUACGUGCCAGCAGCCGCGGUAAUACGUAGGGUGCGAGCGUUAAUCGGAAUUACUGGGCGUAAAGCGUGCGCAGGCGGUUCGUUGUGUCUGAUGUGAAAGCCCCGGGCUCAACUUGGGAAUGGCAUUGGAAACUGGCGAGCUAGAGUGUGGCAGAGGGGGGUGGAAUUCCGCGUGUAGCAGUGAAAUGCGUAGAGAUGCGGAGGAACACCGAUGGCGAAGGCAGCCCCCUGGGCUAGCACUGACGCUCAGGCACGAAAGCGUGGGGAGCAAACAGGAUUAGAUACCCGGGUAGUCC
Molecule: ribosomal RNA, 449 nt
Filed under: uncultured bacterium
Lineage: Bacteria
Description: bacterial SSU rRNA
Rfam family: Bacterial small subunit ribosomal RNA
Source: RNAcentral